CGUCAUACUACAAAAUUUUUCCAGAGGAAACGAAAUCAUUUUGAAAAGGAAACUGACAUUGCGAUUCUAGGGUUUCAUCUUCGGCCGUUACAAUAAUUUUUUUUGAAUUGCAUACACAACACUACGUAAAUUGUGGUGUUUGAAGCGAUUGUUCACGCACAAAUUCAAAACCAUUUCAUUUAAGAGUAGAUGAUAUAAUGG
Salvia splendens (bonfire salvia) is the source of this 201-nucleotide long non-coding RNA. RefSeq lists it as uncharacterized. The transcript is spliced from 3 exons. The record is from RefSeq and is a predicted model, not a curated record. NCBI's taxonomy places the organism in Eukaryota, Viridiplantae, Streptophyta, Magnoliopsida, Lamiales, Lamiaceae.